GGCGGACGGGUGAGUAACGCGUAAAGAACUUGCCCUUUAGACUGGGAUAACAGAGGGAAACUUCUGAUAAUACUGGAUAAGUUAGUAUAUCGCAUGAUAUGCAAAUGAAAGCUACGGCACUAAAGGAGAGCUUUGCGUCCUAUUAGCUAGUUGGUAAGGUAAGAGCUUACCAAGGCGGUGAUAGGUAGCCGGCCUGAGAGGGUGGACGGCCACAAGGGGACUGAGAUACGGCCCUUACUCCUACGGGAGGCAGCAGAA
RNAcentral lists this ribosomal RNA (258 nucleotides) under uncultured Leptotrichia sp. RNAcentral describes it as "partial 16S ribosomal RNA". It matches the Rfam family "Bacterial small subunit ribosomal RNA", at positions 97 to 354 of the family's 1533-position model. Lineage: Bacteria; Fusobacteriati; Fusobacteriota; Fusobacteriia; Fusobacteriales; Leptotrichiaceae. The record is from RNAcentral.